This is a long non-coding RNA of Amphimedon queenslandica, 508 nucleotides long. RefSeq lists it as uncharacterized. NCBI's taxonomy places the organism in Eukaryota, Metazoa, Porifera, Demospongiae, Haplosclerida, Niphatidae. The transcript has 2 exons. The record is from RefSeq and is a predicted model, not a curated record.
AGUUUAUUUAUAUUAUGCAUACAUUUUAUACAGGUGUGGUUUCCUGAUGGUAGAGUGUUGACCUUUGAUCCUCAGCCUUCCGAUAUCCGCCCACUCAUUCCUGAUACUCAUAAACUCAAUCACAAACUAAUCAUAUCACAUGGGAAAUGGACUGAUGCUCUAAUGAUAGAACUAAGUAUCAUUCGUCAUCAUUCACUGGACAUUCCCUCAGAGUCUCAAUACAUGUCACUAAUAACCAAACUAAUAAAGAGAGGAGAGGGUCAGACCUCAUCCUCCAGUCACAUGAUCACUUCAGACUCCAUUCAAUCCUCUUCUCCUCAUAUGGUUGGAUCUGUUCUUAUCAGUGACAUCAUCAAGUUGAGGAUAUUACCACAAGAUACUCUUGCAAGAGGUUAUAAUGUGUUUGGACCAACUUAGAGUAGAGAGACUGAGGAGGGAAGGACAUAAUUUUUAUAGUUCAUGACUUUAUCAUUUUUCAGUAUUAAAAGUUCAAAUUAAGAUUUACCAA